Long non-coding RNA from Passer montanus (Eurasian tree sparrow), 5528 nucleotides. RefSeq lists it as uncharacterized. The record is from RefSeq and is a predicted model, not a curated record. The transcript has 2 exons. NCBI's taxonomy places the organism in Eukaryota, Metazoa, Chordata, Aves, Passeriformes, Passeridae.
GGGGGCGAGGGCCGCGGAGAUGUCGGCGGUGGCGUCGAUGGCGGUGGCGUCGAUGGCGCAGACCCAGGCCUCCAGCAUCCCCAGGCCCCUGCUUCCUGCCCAAUUCCUCACAAUAAUCAGAGUUACUGGCUGCUACUGGUAACACAGGCCUGGAGCACCACAGGACACCACAUUACCAGGCCCACCACGGGUAUUACCCUGCACAAACCCAGGAGCCACAGCACCCUGACAGUGCCCUGCUGCUCCUGCUGGACCUGCUCAGCCAGAAACCACUGGCCAGUGUUGUCCCCAGCGAUGGCAUCUCCUCACCAGGCAGCACAAGGUGGAGAUGGUGCGGGGGCAGGAGCUGGCUGCAAAGCAGAAGAUUAAUUAAGAGGCUGUGCCACUGCCUCGCUGUGAUCUCAGUAACUGAACCGUUAAAGUGAUUUAUUCUUCGAAGGGUAAUUACAUUCCCCCUUUCCAUGUUAUCCAUCCCCUGAUCUGUGCUGCACACACACCCAGUCAGGAGCAGGCGUGUGGCCCGUGAGUCCAUGUGUCAGAGGGGAGAUGGCCUGGCUGCCCCUUCUGCUUCCUGUGCCUUGGUGUUACUGCUUCUGUAGCACACAGAGAAGUGCUUGUGUGGAUUGUGUGCUGUUGGUGUGGAUUGUGUGCUGUUUGUGUGGAUUCAAUGCUUCCAGACCCUCACACAGCUCUGGGAUCUCUCCAUGGGCCACUAUGGCCGGACACAGCAGUGCUGCUGCACCACUGAUUUUGACUGAGGGUCCAGCCUGGCUUUGUAUUUUGUUAUCAAUACCCAUUUCUGCUGCAUUCUGUGCUGUCAGGUUUCUUGCUGCAUUUUUAAAGGUACAUUUCACAUGGACAAGUUUGGGAAACUCCUAUGCAGAGCUCUUGUCCUAACAGUCCCAGUGAAGGCAGGAAUGAGUAGGAGCCUUUAAAAUCAGACAACCACAGAACCAUAGCAUCAUUAAUAUAAGAAAACAUUUUAAAGAUCAAGUCCAAUUGUCACCCCAGUAUCCCACCAUGUUCACCACUAAAGGAUGUCACCACAUGUUUUUUGAACACUUCCAGGGCUGGGAACAUUUACAUUUAGAGUAUUAGAAAUAGUAUUUUUCAAAGGAACAGUCCUUUUCCCUGUGAAAUCUUUCAUUUAUUAAUAAUAACCAGGCAUUCAGUACAGCUGUAUUCUCUCUUAAAACACUGCAUCCUUUCCUUUUCAGCACCAUUUCCCCGGCACAUCACUCCCCCCCUUUCUGGCCCAGCUGCUUCCACGGAUUUCAGCGUCACACUUUUCCCUCGGGGCCGUGCAGCCUGGCCGCCUGCCCGCUCCCUGCCCAGGCCUGUCCUGCUCGCGGGUGCUCCUUUCGGGCCGGGAACAUUAGAGGGAGCUGGAGACUCGCCGUGCCCGGCUGGAUGGCUGGAGGCGGCUGGCAGGAAUGGCCUGCAGGCACGUCCCAAGCGCCGGGGGGUCACUGGCCGUGUCAUCCCACACGUAUCCAGCUCCGGGAGUGCCGCUGAGGGGCUCCUGCUCUUCCUGGGAGGUGCUGGAUCACCCAGCCCAGCCCAUGCUGCUGCUGGAGGCUGAAGUUUAGUCACCAUAGCAUUCCCUGCUCCAAAAUCCCAGCAAAUUCACCCUCGACAAACUGUCGAGAGGUCGGUGUGCCUGCCAGGGAGGACGGGUGCUUCUCCAUCACCUGGGGUGGGGAUUCUGCACCCGUUCAAUCCUGGUCUUCCCAGCACCACCAGCCUGCUCUGUGCCAUGCUCACAGUGCCAGCCCUGCCACCCUGCAUCUGACAGAUCCUGGCUAUUCAGCCCGUGGUAAACUAAAUCAGGGUGGUUUGUGUUGUGGCAGGAGCCAGAAGCUUAACUCGAGAGCAGUGUAAGGAAACACAGACAUGGCCCUCAGGGACAAUGGAUCUGUGUGGGACACUCACCAUGACACUGUGGGAUGGGGUGACAGGUUUGCUGCAGCAACCCAGCACCAACCCCACGGUGAUCAGACCAGAGAAAUAAAAAGAUGAGUGUCCUACAGGAGACUUUACCACCCCAAAAAUAAACUUGGGAACGAACACUCCUGUAAAAGGCCCGGUGUCAUUAUUUCUGGGUCUGGUAGCCAACAGAUUCCUUCAGAGAUCAGGCACUGGGCAAAGGCAGUGCUGUUUUAGCUGGGCCAUUCACAGCAUCACCCCAGCAGUAAUGCUGGGCAGGGAAAUCGCUGGGGUUCAGCUGGUGGCAUGAAAGCUGACCCCAUCCAGGGCUGGACAUCAAGGGUGUCACAAGGCUACAAGCAGCUGGAAUGAAACCAGUGGGACCAGAGUCCUCAGAGUUGGAGAGCAGAGAACAUCUGGCCUUUCUUCACCUCAUGGAGGCAGAAAAAAACUUUAGAAUGUGUUCUCCAAGCAAAAGCUGGAAUUGUGUAUUCCAAGCAAAAGCCAGGCAGAUGCAGCUCUCCCCUGGCUGAGCAGCUCACCUCAAAGGAGGCAUUUUAGGGUGUAAGAAGCUCCAAGGAAGACUGCAUGGCAAAGACAGAGACAUCCUGGGUGUGAGGCAGAGGAGGGCAAAGUGGGACCUGCCAAACCCUGUGACUGAGCACAAAACCCUGAUCCAAACCUCCAGCCAGGUGAGAAGGUGACUCACAAGGCCCAGGGCCCACUCCAGCCACGGGCACAGCUCUGGUGGGUUUUGGGAAAACCUGGCCCUGCUCUGCUCCCACUGACUGACCACAGCUCCCAUUGCCCGUGCAAUGCCACCCAGAGCUGGAAUCCUGUGGCAAAGCCAGACCUGCACCCGUGGCUCUCCAAAAUUCACACUUCACCAUCCAAAAUGACAAACUAGGCUGACCAAGGCCUUUCCCGGACAGUGGAGGAAUCAGGCGUGCCAUGCUGUGCCAGUGCCACUGAGGCUCCUGGUGCAGAGGGAGCAGCCACAGGAAACACAGGCAGGGCCAGACCUGUGUGCUGGGCUCUGCUGGAGCUCACUCACUCCCUGAGAUGACUUCAGAAGGAGAGCCUGCACACACCAGUCAAAACCACACCAAAAUGGCACAUCCUACCAAAAAACCACCCCAGAUGGCUGGUUUGGGUUGCCUGGAUAGGAGACAUGAUUCUCUGCAAAAUGCACAGGAGUUCUUUCCUUCUCUGCCCCAUCCCAGAAAACAUUUUAAAAGCACAAAAAGGAAAAUAAAAUAUUUUUUUGAUCCAAAGCAGCUGUUUUGCAUCAAAACACACUUCACACCUUCCACUCCGCAUUGUCCAGUGCGUGUCUGGGGUUCACUGAUGGUUCAGGAGAGCAGUCUGGUCUGAAGGAAUGCAUGUUACUCACUCCAGGGUGGUUUUUUGGGUAGACGUUGAACCACAAUGUUGGUUAAUCAUCCAGCUCAUCAUUUGUCACAGCAGAGCCGGGCUCAGACCCAAAAUACUGAGGACACUUCAUCUCUGCUCCUGCCCAGCUGCCUCAGUGCCCUGUGCUGAGGGCAGAUGUGACCCCACCAGCCACCCCAGCGCUGCGGCCACUCAGAUCCUACCGUGACCUGAUGGCUCUGCUAAAUCCUGCAGACAGGCACGAGCCACCACGUCACCCAAAGCCCGGCUGACCCCCUGCGUCAGCCAGGCCACCCCGGUGGCUCGGCAGUGGCCCCUUCCCUGUCCCUCUGGGCCAGCGUGGGCGGCACGGCGCUGCUCCUGCUGCGGGGCUUUUCUCCAAUGCAAAUCCACACCAGGGUAUUUAUAGCACCCUUAUCCCGGCGGAGCCUAUUUUGGGCUGAUGCUCAGGCACCAGAGCAGCACAGGUUAUUUUAACCCAGCGCUGGGUUAUUUUCAGAGUUGCCCUUCUCUGCACGUGCUCAGGAAUGGUUUCCAACUACCAGGCGUUUUCUGGGGUUGGGGAAACUGGGGAAGGGGGAGAAGAGGGACCAUGUGAAGGAAUUUCAGAGAUUUAAAGAUAAACCAGCAUCUUUGACACACCUGUCUGGGAUCCACCUGGAAUUUUGGAAAGAGGAUUGCCUGCAGGAGAACUCUUGAGCAAAAGGCAGGAGAGGAAAGAUCUCUGAAGCACACAGCUGAGGGCCCAGUGAUGGUGAAACAACAUGCAAGAGAGGAAGAAGGGCCAAGAGCUGGAUGCUCCUAAAAUGUCCAGGGUCACAAGCUGUUGGCCCCAGGCCCAGGAGGGAGCAACAGCUUUGUUCAACAGAGGCAGGAACAGCACCAUGGGAUGGGACAUGCUCCUCAUCCUCAGCAUGGAGGGAACCCCAGCUCUGUUCUCACCACAUGCCAUCCUGGAACAGCCAGGGAAGGGAGACCUCUGGUGUCAUCCUGUCCUGAUCCAGAUGCUGCAAGACGCAUCUGCAGCAUUUACCAAGCAGUGAGCCUGGAUUCUCAGCAGUGCUGCAGUGGGGAUCUCUCAGCUCAGAGCUGGGAGCAGCAGCUGGUCCAUGGCAGAGCCCACAGCCCAUUCCCCAAAGCAGGGGUGCCAUGGAUGGGGUUCUGCCAGGGCAGCAGCACCAUGGCAACACACCCAGAGGGAUCCAGCUCCAUCCCCCAGGAUAACAGCAGGGCUAGAGAAGUCAAGAUUUAAAAUGUUUAUUUUAAAUUCCACAAGGUCUUGCCUUGUCCAUGUAAGAAGGCUCAGCCUUUUUCCCAGCCUCCAGUGCCCACGACCUUCCCUAUCCCACCACACUUUCCUCUUGCCUGUGUCCCCCCCUGACCCAUGGAGGGGUGGGGGAGAUGUGCCAGGAGUGUCUCUGGGGGUGGCAGGGCAGUCCCAAGGCCACUGGGUGCAGCUGGCAGGGAGCACAGUCCUGCCCCGUGACCUCCAGCUCCCAUUGGGAUUGAGAGGAUCACACCAUCCCGCUGGGAAAAGUGAGUCAGGGCCUGAGCCUCUGCCAGCCCCUAUUCCUGGCCUCCCACCCCAGCCACACGCCCAGCCCCCGUGGGCCAGCCCCAGGCUGGGAAGGACCAAGUGAGAGUUGGGGAGGAUUAGGGGGAGAGGAGCCCCUGGAUGGGGUGCCACCCACUUCCCAACCCCCCAUGCAACACGCCCCACCUGCCACAGCCACCUGCCCACCAUAUAGGUCUCAAUGCAUUUUUAUUAAAUUCUUACAAAACAGAAUACAAAAUUCUGGCAUCAACAAUUGUUAUAAAGGAAAACUUCAAUUCAGCUGUAUCAGGUCACCUGGUACAUACAGUAAAGUGCUUCUUUUUGUGUGUUUGUUUUUUUUUUCUUUUUUUUGUUUUUGUUUUUUUGUCUUUUUUUUUUUUUUUUUUAGAUUUUCAUUUUUAUUUCCCAGCCAGCCCCUGAGCAGAGGCCGCUGUUGCACAAACCAACAGUGCGUUAACGUGACUCUUGUUGAACCAGCUUUGGCAGUCUUCAUCAAUUGUAAAGUGGAGAAAGUUUCUCCUGGUUUGAUAAAAAAGAGUUAGCUUCACAGUAAACGUUUCUAACCAGUUCUAAGUCGAGUUAGUUGGCUGGAGGAAGGGUGGGGGGGAAGGAGAGGAAGCGAAAACACUUAACAUUUCCAGCUUAAAAAAAAAAA